UGGUGUGCCGGAGCCAGUGGGAGGCUUUGCCUUCCACCUACACUGGCACUAAGGGGCUGCGUACCGCCCAGGUAUUGCUGCGCCUGCCUGAACCUGUUUCCUCGGUUGUGAGACGGGGAUUACGAUACCCGCCGCUCGCCACUUUCGCAGGCUGCGGCAGCGUCCUAUUGUUCCUGUUAUUCAUGGCCACACAAUCACUACAAAUCUAUGUUCGAGAGCCUUAUUCAAAUUUUAUUCAAAAUAUUAUGUGAAAAGAAACAGGCCUCUAAGAAAAUAAAUCUUUUCCUGGCACAA
Long non-coding RNA from Herpailurus yagouaroundi (jaguarundi), 294 nucleotides. RefSeq lists it as uncharacterized. Lineage: Eukaryota; Metazoa; Chordata; Mammalia; Carnivora; Felidae. The transcript has 2 exons. The record is from RefSeq and is a predicted model, not a curated record.